This 486-nucleotide ribosomal RNA is filed under the name uncultured bacterium. Its description in RNAcentral is "partial 16S ribosomal RNA". It matches the Rfam family "Bacterial small subunit ribosomal RNA", at positions 30 to 507 of the family's 1533-position model. The record is from RNAcentral.
UGACCGCUGGCGGCAUGCUUUACACAUGCAAGUCGACCGGCAGCACAGGGAGCUUGCUCCUGGGUGGCGAGUGGCGAACGGGUGAGUAAUGUAUCGGAACGUGCCUGGUAGUGGGGGAUAACUACUCGAAAGAGUGGCUAAUACCGCAUGAGAUCUUUGGAUGAAAGCGGGGGACCUUCGGGCCUCGUGCUACUGGAGCGGCCGAUAUCAGAUUAGGUUGUUGGUGGGGUAAAGGCCUACCAAGCCUGCGAUCUGUAGCUGGUCUGAGAGGACGACCAGCCACACUGGGACUGAGACACGGCCCAGACUCCUACGGGAGGCAGCAGUGGGGAAUUUUGGACAAUGGGCGCAAGCCUGAUCCAGCAAUGCCGCGUGCAGGACGAAGGCCUUCGGGUUGUAAACUGCUUUUGUACAGAACGAAAAGUCUCUGGCUAAUAUCUAGAGAUCAUGACGGUACUGUAAGAAUAAGCACCGGCUAACUACGUG